UUAGUUAAUUAUUUUAACAGGGUGACGAUAUGCAAUGAAGACAGCUAGCGUCAUAUUUUGAAAGAAAUCCGCCGCUGCAUCCUGUCGAGUAGGAAGGUGUCUGACAGACGCGUCUGCGCAUGCUCGGGCAGGUAACGAAUUGUUUGCAUCACCUAGCUAAUUUAACAAGCUAAGACGUGUUAAUUAAGCUAGCUGUGUUCGUAAACACGAAAGAAGCAUCCCACCCAAGUUUAAAGAUGCAUCGUGUUGGAUGAGCAGGCAUCACUUUUUGUAUGGAUGCCCAGAAUUUCUACCAGCAUGCUUGAUGUCAACCUGCAGUGCCUGAUCCAUUGUUCUUCGAUGAUGUUGAUGAUUUCAUCAAUGGUGUUUUACGAUGCAUUGUGUUGGACGAGCAGGCAUCACUUUUUGUAUGGACGCCCAGAUUUUCUACCAGCAUGCUUGAUGUCAGCCUGCAGCGCCUGAUCCAUUGUUCAUCAAUGAUGUUGAUGUUUUCAUCAAUGGUGAUUUUAAGAAACCAUAACCCGGACACUCAAGAAAAUGACCCUCAAGACAUUGUGAGAAGUUUCACGGAGGAACAGGAACACUCAGGCAAAACUACAUUCACUGCAGUUUGAUAUUUGUCAAGGCCUGACAUGGAGAAAAAUAAGAGGGUUUGCGUUCACAUUGUUCUCCAUCUACACAUCUGCACUUCACUUUUUAGAAGUUCCCAAAACUGUUUUCUCAAUACUUGGCACAGUGCAAAAGGAUUUUUUGUGUACAAGUGAGUGACCACAUGACCAGUUGACGCACAAGGAUCAGCACAAAGUAAUGGCCCCCAGCCAGCCACCGUCAGUGCAUUGAAAUACUGAUAUUGUUGAAACCCCCACCAGUUUGCUCAAGAUCCACUGUGCCUGAAGAAUUAUGUGGUUAUACUGUGAACAACUGUGUUCAUUGGACAUGUGCCUGGAUUUAAACCACACUCUUAUCAUAAUAGGAAACACUAAGAAACUGACAAAUAAUAAGAUAUGCCCUGUGAUAGAGCAGCAUGAACAUAUGUAGAUGCAGGAUUUGAAAGCAACUAACAAAAUAACCAUUUCAUUAAAUGAAGCAAUUUAUUAUUCAAACAAGAAUAACGACAAAUUAAUAAACAAAUAACUUGAGUGCUAUUUUCAUUAGUGUAUUUGUUUUGGGGUUAUUAAUGUAGUCCUAAUGUUAAAUGUCUGUCACUGUGUCAUGGUUAUUCUAAAAAUGGUGGCACACACACUACAACCCAUAAUCUGGAUGUUUCAUUAUGCACUGCAUUUAGGUGUAAAUUUUAAAGUGGGUACAAAUGCAUAGCACAAAAAAGGACCAUUUUGUACUGCACUGAGUCAUC
Centropristis striata (black sea bass) is the source of this 1354-nucleotide long non-coding RNA. RefSeq lists it as uncharacterized. NCBI's taxonomy places the organism in Eukaryota, Metazoa, Chordata, Actinopteri, Perciformes, Serranidae. The record is from RefSeq and is a predicted model, not a curated record. The transcript has 6 exons.